UCCGGGGGGAGCAAGCGUUGUUCGGAUUUACUGGGCGUAAAGGGCGCGUAGGCGGCCACCGCAAGUCGACUGUGAAAUCUCCGGGCUUAACCCGGAAAGGUCAGCCGAUACUGCGGGGCUAGAGUGCAGAAGGGGCAACUGGAAUUCUCGGUGUAGCGGUGAAAUGCGUAGAUAUCGAGAGGAACACCCAGGGGGAAACCAGUCGACUGGGCAUCUACUGACGCUGAGGUGCGAGAGCGUGGGGAGCGAACCGG
Molecule: ribosomal RNA, 254 nt
Filed under: uncultured bacterium
Lineage: Bacteria
Description: partial 16S ribosomal RNA
Rfam family: Bacterial small subunit ribosomal RNA
Source: RNAcentral